Molecule: long non-coding RNA, 1735 nt
Filed under: Homo sapiens (human)
Lineage: Eukaryota; Metazoa; Chordata; Mammalia; Primates; Hominidae
Description: HSALNT0334285
Source: RNAcentral
GUUGCUCGGCGGGCGCCAUCUUUCUCGCGGCGCGGGCGGCGCCCUCCGAGGACAUCUCGAUGACCAGGGCGCCGCGAGGCCCGGGGCUAGCGGGAGCCGAGAGCAGGGUGCUGAAUUCUGGAGAUGGGACUGGGGUCGCGCGGCCUUCUCCUUCCCCACGCCCCCAGACCCAAAAGACGAGGCCGCCGGCUCGGAGCGGGAAGGGCUGGGGCCAGCUUCUUCCUCCUAACCACUUGUUUGUGAUGGAAGAAGGGGGCUGGGGGUCGAGCCUCGCGGCUGAUGGGUUCCCUCCCUGACCCCGCACCCCCACUCCUCCCAGUCGAAAUUGGAGGUGAGGCGCUCCUGCCAUUUUCUCUCCUGCGGUCUGAGAGUGGACGUCUUUGUCUUCUCUGGCCCGGCGUGGGGGCAGGGCAUUGAGCCUUUUCCUUAAUUCUUCAGUUAUUGAAAGUAGAGUCCAACCAGGUUACAAAACUAAAAAAAAGAGUCCAGGACAUUGUCUGUCUGCCUUCCGGUAGCAUGGUUCUCUGUGGGUACCCUACGCUUCGUUUCUUAGUUUUACUCUAAAACAACCCUGAGGAGACAUUUACUAGUUGUCAGAUUACGGGAAGGUGAUGGGUUCCAGUUUUUUGAAACUUUUUUUGUUGGCUUUCAUAUUACUUCAAAUGGCAGUGAAUUAAAACAGUUUCUUAGAACUCUAAUCUGAAAAGUUAAAUACGCUUUAAAACAGUCUGAAACUCUUCUAAAAAGCAAAACUGCAUUAUUAAAAGCAUCCAUAGACAGGGGUUUCUCUUUGUCACCCAGGCUGGCCUCAAACUCCUGGGCUCAAGCAGUCUUCCCACCUUUCCCUCCCAAAGUGCUGGGAUUACAGGCGUGAGCCACUGCAUCCUGCCGAGAAAAUCAUUUUUUAUUUAAAUAAUGUCAAAUGGAAGUAUGUAGCACCCCCCCCCCACCUUCUUUUCCCCUUUCUUUCCUCUUUGAGUCUGCUGUCAUUCCCUUUUUCAUGAGUUUUCUCUGCUCCCCAAAUAGGCUAAACAAUAACCGUAAAGUGAGAUUAGAGAAAAUAAGAAUGGAGUAGAUGAUGGAAUUCAAAAUAGCUGUCUACAUUCUUCACUGAGAAAGAUAGCUUUGAGUUAAAGGUGAGAGGAGCAAAUCUGGGGAAAAACGGGUGAAACGGCAUGAUUUAAGUAGCAUACCAGAUGCGUUUCUGCAUGGCAUGGCUCUUGCUUGAUGAAUAAUGUUCUGUAUAGUAGAAGAGGAAAAUACAGUGAGUGAAGGAGCUGGCAGAAGGUGGGCUGGGGGAGUUGGGGAAGAGUGAAAUGAGUAUGGAGAGGUGAGAGAGCUGACUGCAAAGGCAUGUGGGGUGUGGAUUUUAAAAGGAAAGCCCUGAGGUGGAAAUCACUAACAUGGUGCCUGGCUACAAGCAGAGGGAGCUCAGGACUUGACUGUGCUGGGGGUGGCCUGCCCUUUUGUAGUGCAGUUGAGGAGAGCUCAGGGGCUGUCAGAAUGCUGUGUGGGAAGGUGGAGGAUGAAAGAGGACCUGGGAGCAGCAACUUUGUUCUGGUUUGUUGUUUUCUCUUCCCUACCUCGUAUGUACUCCCACUCAGGAAAAGAUCCUGAGACCUCUCUGUACCAGAUCCUCUUAUACCCAGGUUCUCCUUAAUCCCAAUCAACUUUAAUCUAUAAAGUUACGAUUUGUUUACUUAUAAAUUUAUUUUUAAUAAAGUUGUGAAACCGA